Molecule: ribosomal RNA, 79 nt
Filed under: Eggerthellaceae bacterium zg-893
Lineage: Bacteria; Bacillati; Actinomycetota; Coriobacteriia; Eggerthellales; Eggerthellaceae
Description: partial 23S ribosomal RNA
Source: RNAcentral
GGCAGAACACCUGGUCGAUAGGCCGCAGGUGCAAGCACGGCGACGUGCUCAGCCGAGCGGCACUAAUAGCCCGAGCUCC